GUACACUCCUGCGGGAGGCAGCAGUGGGGAAUUUUGGACAAUGGGCGAAAGCCUGAUCCAGCCAUGCCGCGUGCAGGAUGAAGGCCUUCGGGUUGUAAACUGCUUUUGUACGGAACGAAACGGCCUUUUCUAAUAAAGAGGGCUAAUGACGGUACCGUAAGAAUAAGCACCGGCUAACUACGUGCCAGCAGCCGCGGUAAUACGUAGGGUGCAAGCGUUAAUCGGAAUUACUGGGCGUAAAGCGUGCGCAGGCGGUUAUGUAAGACAGUUGUGAAAUCCCCGGGCUCAACCUGGGAACUGCAUCUGUGACUGCAUAGCUAGAGUACGGUAGAGGGGGAUGGAAUUCCGCGUGUAGCAGUGAAAUGCGUAGAUAUGCGGAGGAACACCGAUGGCGAAGGCAAUCCCCUGGACCUGUACUGACGCUCAUGCACGAAAGCGUGGGGAGCAAACAGGAUUAGAUACCCCUGUAGUCCC
This 474-nucleotide ribosomal RNA is filed under the name uncultured organism. Its description in RNAcentral is "partial 16S ribosomal RNA". It matches the Rfam family "Bacterial small subunit ribosomal RNA", at positions 331 to 797 of the family's 1533-position model. The record is from RNAcentral.